This 112-nucleotide ribosomal RNA is filed under the name Cavia aperea (Brazilian guinea pig). Lineage: Eukaryota; Metazoa; Chordata; Mammalia; Rodentia; Caviidae. The record is from RNAcentral.
GUCUACAGCUAUACCACCCUGAACGCGCCCGAUCUCGUCUGAUCUCAGAAGCUCAGCAGGGUUGGGCCUGGUUAGUACUUGAAUGGGAAGAAAGUUUAGUUUUUUUCAAACC